Non-coding RNA from Microdochium bolleyi, 102 nucleotides. The record is from the annotation of a GenBank genome assembly. Lineage: Eukaryota; Fungi; Ascomycota; Sordariomycetes; Xylariales; Microdochiaceae.
UCCUCCGUGGCGCAAUUGGCUAGCGCGUCUGACUGUUAGAAUUCCCGAUCUUGUCGGGAAUAAGGCAUCAGGAGGUUGACAGUUCAAGCCUGUCCGGGGGAG